This 1017-nucleotide long non-coding RNA is filed under the name Macaca fascicularis (crab-eating macaque). Its description in RNAcentral is "lncRNA (ENSMFAG00000055883.1)". Lineage: Eukaryota; Metazoa; Chordata; Mammalia; Primates; Cercopithecidae. The record is from RNAcentral.
UGGUCCUUCCUCAGACUACGCGGUCCUUCCUUAGAGUGGGUGGUCCUUCCUCAGAGUGGCAGUCCUUCCUCAGAGGCGCGGUCCUUUUACAAGAGUGCGUGGUCCUUCCACAAGAGUGUGCGGUCCUUCCUCAGACUGCACAGUCCUUCCUCAGAGGCGCGGUCCUUCCUCAGAGUGUGUGAUCCUUCCACGAGAGUGCAGGGUGCUUCCUCAGACGCGCAGUCCUUCCACAAGAGUGCGCGGUCCUUCUUCAGGAGUGCGCGGUCCUACCGCAGAGUGCGAGGUCCUUCGUCAGAGAGCGCAGUCUUGCCUCAGACUGGGCGGUCCUUCUACAAGAGUGCGCGGUCCUUCGUCAGAGAACGCAGCCCUGCCUCAGACUGGGCGGUCCUUCCUCAGAGUGCGCGAUCCUUCCACAAGAGUGCGCGGUCCUUCCUCAGAGUGCACGGUCCUACCUCAGAGUGCGCCGUACUUCCACACGAGUGUGCAGCCCUUCCUCAGAGUGCACGGUCCUACCUCAGAGUACGCGGUCUUUCCACAAGAGUGUGCGGUCCUUCUACAAGAGUGCACGGUCCUACCUCAGAGUGUGCAGUCCUUCCACUAGAGUGCGCGGCCCUUCCUCAGACUGUGCAGUCCUUCUACAAGAGUGCACGGUCCUUCCUCAGAGUAUGCGGUCUUUCCACAAGAGUGUGCGGUCCUUCUACAAGAGUGCGUGGUCCUUGCUCAGAGUGCACGGUACUUCCUCAGAGUGCGCGGUACUUUCACAAGAGUGCGCCUCUCUUCCUCAGACUGCGCGGUACUUCCUCAGGGUGUGCAGUACUUCCACAAGUGUGUGGUCCUUCCUCAGAGUGCAGGGUCCUUCCUCAGACUGACCAGUAUUUCCAAAGAGUGCACAGCCCUGGCCGGACGCAAUGGCUCAUGCCUGUAAUCCUAGCACUUUGGGAGGCCGAGACAGGUGGAUCACGAGGUCAGGAGUUCGAGACCAGCCUGGCCAAGAUGGUGAAACCCCGUCUAUACUAA